UCGUGCUAGACGGGGAGCUAGCGGUGCCCUGUAACCCGAAAUCCGCUCAUGCGGGGUUGAACGUCCUUCAGGAGAUCCUUGAAACAGGUUUUUUCAGUCCCUUGGAGACGAGUUGGACCCCACGUAACAGACGCCUGGAAACCCCGUCAGGUCCGGGAGGAAGCAGCGGUAACCAGGAAAGCCUGUGUCGUGGGAUACUCUUUCUCUUCCCUCCUUCGGCUCUUGGAACGACCUGGUUUCAUGAUCGAAUGAGGAUGCACGG
Molecule: signal recognition particle RNA, 262 nt
Filed under: Deltaproteobacteria bacterium
Lineage: Bacteria; Pseudomonadati; Myxococcota; Myxococcia
Description: signal recognition particle sRNA large type
Rfam family: Bacterial large signal recognition particle RNA
About the family: The signal recognition particle (SRP) is a universally conserved ribonucleoprotein involved in the co-translational targeting of proteins to membranes.
Source: RNAcentral